This 504-nucleotide ribosomal RNA is filed under the name uncultured bacterium. RNAcentral's name for it is "bacterial SSU rRNA". It matches the Rfam family "Bacterial small subunit ribosomal RNA", at positions 29 to 520 of the family's 1533-position model. The record is from RNAcentral.
AGUGAACGCUGGCGGCAGGCCUAAUACAUGCAAGUCGAACGGCAGCACAGCAGAGCUUGCUCUGUGGGUGGCGAGUGGCGGACGGGUGAGGAAUACAUGGGAAUCUGCCCAGUCGUGGGGGAUAACGUAGGGAAACUUACGCUAAUACCGCAUGCGCCCUUCGGGGGAAAGCCGGGGACCUUCGGGCCUGGCGCGAUUGGAUGAGCCCAUGUCGGAUUAGCUAGUUGGCGGGGUAAAGGCCCACCAAGGCGACGAUCCGUAGCUGGUCUGAGAGGAUGAUCAGCCACACUGGAACUGAGACACGGUCCAGACUCCUACGGGAGGCAGCAGUAGGGAAUAUUGGACAAUGGGCGCAAGCCUGAUCCAGCCAUGCCGCGUGAGUGAAGAAGGCCCUCGGGUUGUAAAGCUCUUUUUGUCCGGAAAGAAAAGCGCCGGGUUAAUACCCUGGUGUCCUGACGGUACCGGAAGAAUAAGCACCGGCUAACUUCGUGCCAGCAGCCGCGG